CAAUAGCGUAUAUUAAAAUUGUUGCAGUUAAAAAGCUCGUAGUUGGAUUUCUGGUGGGAGCGAUCGGUCUGGCGCUUAGCGCGAGUACUUGCAUCGUCUCCGGCCAUCCUUGGGGAGAGUCUGUCUGGCAUUAGGUUGUCGGGCAGAGGAUCCUCAUCGUUUACUGUGAAAAAAUUAGAGUGUUCAAAGCAGGCUUAUGCCGUUGAAUAUAUUAGCAUGGAAUAAUAAGAUAGGACUUUGGUACUAUUUUGUUGGUUUGCGCACCAAAGUAAUGAUUAAUAGGGACAGUUGGGGGUAUUCGUAUUCCGUUGUCAGAGGUGAAAUUCUUGGAUUUACGGAAGACGAACUACUGCGAAAGCAUUUACCAAGGAUGUUUUCAUUAA
Molecule: ribosomal RNA, 383 nt
Filed under: uncultured eukaryote
Lineage: Eukaryota
Description: partial 18S ribosomal RNA
Rfam family: Eukaryotic small subunit ribosomal RNA
Source: RNAcentral